This 66-nucleotide transfer RNA is filed under the name Metaphire agrestis. RNAcentral's name for it is "tRNA-His". Lineage: Eukaryota; Metazoa; Annelida; Clitellata; Crassiclitellata; Megascolecidae. The record is from RNAcentral.
AGAAAAAGAUAGGUUAUAAAAACCGCUGAGCUGUGGAUUCAGAAAUGUAUAAAAAUACUCUUUUUC